Medicago truncatula (barrel medic) is the source of this 692-nucleotide long non-coding RNA. RefSeq lists it as uncharacterized. The record is from RefSeq and is a predicted model, not a curated record. The transcript has 2 exons. Lineage: Eukaryota; Viridiplantae; Streptophyta; Magnoliopsida; Fabales; Fabaceae.
AGUUUUGUCAUCUCUACCUAUGUUGUUUUGUCUGUAUAUAUAUACUUAGAGAAGAACAUUUUGUUGGUAGAGAAAGUCAUUUACAUUUAGAAAUCAUGACUUCUUUUAUUAGUAAAUUCUACCCCGUCUUCAUGUUCCUCUGUCUUGUCAUUUUCCUUAUUUUCUCAUGGCCAUGGGAGGUGGAAGAAAAAGUUUGUGGAAGGCCAAAUCGAACAUGGUCAGGGCCUUGUAUUGAUUCGGACUGUGAUGAAGCGUGCCUCGACUUAGAGUUUGCUGCAAUAUAUGGUUCUUGUGGAGGAACUAGUUAUGAUUGCUUCUGCUUCUUCAAAUGUUAGAGCAUUGAGUUUCUGAUCAAGUAGUUUUCACCUUUGACAUUUUAUGGGUGUGAAAGUAAAGAGUAUACAAUACCGUUAAUCUUUAAUAUCAAUGAUAUCAUUUUAAUGUUAAGCCAUGUUUAUUAAUUAUAUAUAAUUAUUCUUAGAAUUAUAUGAUAGUAUACAGUAUAUAAUUAAAACAAGGGAGAAAUAUAGAAAAUCAAUGAGGGUGUUGGUUUGGUGGAUUCUCUCUGUAAAAUAAAUUCUUGUAUUAUUGAGUUAGAGUCGGAAAAUAUCUUAAAGAGAGUGAUAUAGUCUAAGACUCAACGUAUUUUUGUAUGAUAGAGUUAUUUUUUAUGUAUGUGUUUGAUUUUUGCA